AGUCCGUGAUGCGGGCAUUGCCUGAGCAUAUUAUUAAAUCUAUAUCAUGCUUCAAAUAAUGAUUCAGAGUCUAAUUGUCUAAAGCUUGCUAUCAUAUUUCUCAUAUG
Zingiber officinale is the source of this 107-nucleotide small nucleolar RNA. Lineage: Eukaryota; Viridiplantae; Streptophyta; Magnoliopsida; Zingiberales; Zingiberaceae. The record is from RefSeq and is a predicted model, not a curated record.